RNAcentral lists this long non-coding RNA (452 nucleotides) under Pan troglodytes (chimpanzee). RNAcentral's name for it is "long non-coding RNA NONPTRT003075". Lineage: Eukaryota; Metazoa; Chordata; Mammalia; Primates; Hominidae. The record is from RNAcentral.
UUAUAAAGCACUUAGAACUUGUGAAGAAGAGUGCCUGGGGAUUGCCUAAGGUCAGGAGUUCAAGACCAGCCUGGCCAACAUGGAGAAACCUCGUCUCUGCUAAAAAUACAAAAACUAACCACGCAUGGUAGUGCACACCUGUAGUCCCAGCUACUUGGGGGGCUGAGGCAGGAGAAUCACUUGAACCUGGGAGGUGGAGGUUGCAGUGAGCCAAGAUUGCGCCACUGCACUCCAGCCUGGGCAACAGAGCAAGACUCGGUCUCCAAAGAAGAAAAAAAAAACUGCCUGGCUACAGAAUAAGAACUACAUGGAGUUAUUAAAUCAAAAUCGGUGCACAAAUGAUAAUUCUUAAGAGUGAGUGCUACAGAGAACACAAAAGGCAAGGCACAGAGAGAUGACCUGGGAGGCAGGGAAGGAAAGCACUCCCAGAGAGUCUCUUUCUGUCACCCAGU